AAAAGUGAAUAUCUCUGAGCUUAGGACUCCUGUGGAUUUUGCUAUGGAGCUUAAGCCGAUAGGGUAUUACGGGAAACUGUAAUGCCUCCCAUUGUGGAAAGGAGUUAAUAUAUACAGUUC
This 120-nucleotide non-coding RNA is filed under the name Clostridia bacterium. Its description in RNAcentral is "MoCo sequence". It matches the Rfam family "Molybdenum/Tungsten riboswitch aptamer (Moco RNA motif)". The record is from RNAcentral. Lineage: Bacteria; Bacillati; Bacillota; Clostridia.